CUUUUAGCAUCGCCCCCGACUCGUCUUUCCGAACCGAGCCAUCUUCCUCUCGGCUGGUCGCACAAAAAUACAGGCAAAUAGAAAAGGGAGGAGAGGAAGCGAAGAUCAGCUGUGCCGAGCAACGUAUAAAUAAUUCUCGGCCCACUUCCACGGGGUAAAACGCAGAGACUAAUGGAUACACCGGAGUAAUUACGCUGUCGUGAGAGACAGAGGAUAAAAGAGAGGGUGAGAAAGAAAGGUAACGUGCAAACAACAAAGACCAGCCACCUUCCACGUGCACGAUCAUCAAGAGGACUUUGCGUUAAUUACGAACGAUUUCGUUUCUUUCGGUUCGCGUGAAAUCGAAUCUAUCGCGGAGAUUCGAAGAUCAAUUGACACCAUCGAAGGCUUCUCUGUGGAAAAGUAAGAAACACAGAGUAGGGAGAAGAAAGCCAAUUGGCAAUGAGAUUUCUCAUUGCUAAAUAAGGGGAUCGCGUCGACCGAGACGCAUGAUCGAGAAUUCGGAAAUCGCAAGCGAAUGGAAUGUUGCCGUUGAUCUAGUCUCAUACGAGGCGACCGGUCGUUUUGUAAACAAGCCAGAAAACACAGCUCGAGAAAUCGGGAAACUCGGGAAACGCUUGUAUUAAGAUGUUUCGUCGUUUUAUCGCUCGCUUUACUUUCAACGACACCGAUUUUUUCCCUCGAGACUCGCUUUGCAUUCGCGUAUCGAACGCGUUGCAAUUAAAUCGAUGAUCGAGAAAUCGCAAUCGUCUGAAAUGGUGCAACGCCCGAGCACUUGCGAAAAACGUUGAUUCGUCCGUAGAAAUGUGCUUUAAUUUGCAAUUUGUAUUCGCGAAUCGUACUUUUAGUAGCAUCUUUCGCACGCAAAAUGUGGAAAAAAGUUAUUUGUAAAACUUUAACCAGGUAUCGGAUAUAUUUGUUCGGAAAAGAGAAACGAUUGCGAGGAAGUUAGUCAGCGACGAAGAAGAAGCGCAUACGCGAUAGUAACGAAGCCAAAGGAAAUUCGUGUAUGGGGAACAACGGUAUGGCGAGCUCCAUUGAGUGUAAAGCCAGCAAGGUAACGGUUUCCGGGCAAGGAUGUGGCACAGCCUACAUACCUCCGCCAGAAGGAGGAUAGGAAGAGAGGAACGGUGUACACGAGCAGCAGAAGAAAAGAAAAGGAAGAAAAGGAGGCAGCCACCGACAAGAGCACGAUAAAAGAUACACCAGCUGAGGAGGAGGAGGAGGAGGUAAGAAAGGAAUAGAGACAAAAAGAGAGAAAAAAAAGAAAAGAAGAAAAAUGGCGAAGAAAAGACGGUCGACUGGUGGCUACCAACGAGAAAGAUGUUUCUGCCUGGCUUUCGUAUCUUUCGCAGCCAGAAUCCGUGUUUCUCGAGAAACAUGUAAUUACCCGGGCGAUCGAAACGUCAUUAUAUCCGUAUUAUUACGAAUUUUGUACAGAAUAUUCAUCGUACAAGAAAGCCACGACCGUUGGAUAACCACCCUGCUACGUGGCUCAAAUCAAUACCUUGCGUACGAUCGUUAACUUUUUCUUCUCUCAGCUAACAAUGUUUCUCUGCCUUGUACGUAAUUCUUUAAUUGCUUCCUCGUAAAGGGACUCGGGAUUUUAUGGUAAAACUGUGAGUUAAAAUAUACAUAAACCGUGGAGUGAUAUUUAGUAUUCAGAUAAAUUUGCUCGACGAGGUGUUUUUUUUACUUGAAUUCCAGCGUUAAAACAAGCAGUAAAAUUAACGAAGAGAAAGACAGUGUGUACAGAGUGAUUCAUAUGUAAUAUUGAAAGAAAGAAUAAAUAAAAUUUGAUCUAAGGAUUAAA
Molecule: long non-coding RNA, 1813 nt
Organism: Osmia bicornis bicornis
Lineage: Eukaryota; Metazoa; Arthropoda; Insecta; Hymenoptera; Megachilidae
Exons: 2
Source: RefSeq, a predicted model, not a curated record